Molecule: long non-coding RNA, 1754 nt
Organism: Orcinus orca (killer whale)
Lineage: Eukaryota; Metazoa; Chordata; Mammalia; Artiodactyla; Delphinidae
Exons: 2
Source: RefSeq, a predicted model, not a curated record
GCCGGUCACUGAGGGUUGAGCUUUUUGUACAAAGGGGACGUAUUUCCAUUCACUCCUCACUCAACAAACACAGACUGAGCAACAGGUAUGUACCAGAGCACCGGGGUCUGGACAGAGACUGAGACGGCCCUCAGGGAGCUCACAGUCAAGAGAACAGUCCAGAAGUUGAGUAUUACCACUAACAGUAAUAGUAAGAGUUAGCAUUUCGUGAGUGCUUGCACUCUUUCUGAGCUCACUCAAUCCUCACAUCAACCCUAUGAGGCAGUUAUUAUUAUCCUCAUUUGACAGAUUUGAGAACUGAGGCACAGAGAGGUCAGGUCAUCUGCCUGGGGUCACGGAGCAGACUUGAGCCUAACCAGUCUGGCUCUGAGGUUAGUGCUCUGAACAUCUAUACUAUUUAUAACCUUUCAGAUAGUUAAAUAGGAAUACUUUCCUCUCUGGUAAAUAUAAUUUAUAUUAUUGAUUAAGUGCUAGGUGAAACAUCAGGCAAGUGAAGGGACAGACAGUGAGGGAGGUGCACUGGUCUGAGAAGGUCUCUCUGAGGAGAAGGGCCUCAGGGUGGAGACCUGAAUGAAGUAAGGGCACAGGCUAUACAAACAUCUGUGGGAACAGCACUCCAGGCAAGAGAAGAGCACAAGCAAAGGCCCUGAGGCAGUGAGAAACAGCAAGGAGGCCAGGGAAGCCGCAGCAGAGUGAGCAAGGAGAAGGAUGGGUGCUGAGGUCGGAUGCACACACCAAACACAGAUCAGCCUUUAAAAAACCCCUCUAGGGGCUUCCCUGGUGGCGCAGUGGUUGGGAGUCCGCCUGCCGAUGCAGGGGACACGGGUUCAUGCCCCUGUCCAGGAGGAUCCCACAUGCCGCGGAGCAGCUGGGCCCAUGAGCCAUGGCCGCUGGGCCUGCGCAUCUGGAGCCUGUGCUCUGAGGCGGGAGAGGCCACAGCGGUGAGAGGCCCGCGUACCGGGGGGAAAAAAAAAAAAAAAAAAAACUCUGACUGCCAAGUGGAAGAUGCACUGGAGGGAACAUAAAGUGAAUGUAAAAGCAGGAAGACUGGCUAGUGGCUACUGCAAUGGUCCAGGCAAGAGAUGCUCAAGGCUGGAACCAGGAAGCUCUGUGCCCCAUUCAUCCAUCCAGUGAGGCCUCCUGUGUACCUGGCCUCAGGCUGGGCCCUCUGUUGAGGACACAGAUGACACAGACACUGCCCCAACUCUCCUGGAGCUGACGGCCUGCUUGCAGACAUGUCCACAGAUAAAACUACGAUAGAAGCCUGUGACCUAUGAUGCGGAAUUCAGUUGAACUCCCCGAAGCACCCCCAGCCCCAUGCUCCAAUGUAAGUAAUUUUGAGCAUCUGAACUUCUGCCAAGCCAGCCAAGGCACAAAAGGGGAGUGUAGCCAGCCAGCUCCCUGUUUCCUCCGAGUGAGCAGUGACAGGGGCUCAACCCCCAAAGCAGAUCCAGCAUGCUCUCCUUCUAAAAGCAGGGGGUCAAAUGAAAGCCUGCGGACCAAGUCCAACCCACCACCUGUUGCAAUAAACGAAGCUUUACGCUCAGUCAUUUCCCCGCUGUCCUCACUUCUUUGUAGCCACAUCAUCAGAGUGGAAUCGUCGCGACAGAGACCAUAAGGCCUGUGAAGCCUGUAAUAUUUACUAUCCGGUCCUUUAAAGGAAAAGCUUGCUGAUCCCUGGUCAAAAGCAACAGAACAGAUUCUUAGCUGAGCACAAGGCCACCCGGAAUAAAGGCAACAUUCCCGUCCACCAG